AAUUAGCUAAUGGUUAGCUAA
This 21-nucleotide microRNA is filed under the name Glycine max (soybean). RNAcentral's name for it is "gma-miR5784". The record is from miRBase by way of RNAcentral. Lineage: Eukaryota; Viridiplantae; Streptophyta; Magnoliopsida; Fabales; Fabaceae.